This 254-nucleotide ribosomal RNA is filed under the name uncultured bacterium. RNAcentral describes it as "partial 16S ribosomal RNA". It matches the Rfam family "Bacterial small subunit ribosomal RNA", at positions 524 to 776 of the family's 1533-position model. The record is from RNAcentral.
UACGGGGGGAGCAAGCGUUGUUCGGAUUUACUGGGCGUAAAGGGCGCGUAGGCGGCCACGGCAAGUCACUUGUGAAAUCUCCGGGCUUAACUCGGAACGGUCAAGUGAUACUGUCGGGCUAGAGUGCAGAAGGGGCAACUGGAAUUCUCGGUGUAGCGGUGAAAUGCGUAGAUAUCGAGAGGAACACCUGCGGCGAAGGCGGGUUGCUGGGCUGACACUGACGCUGAGGCGCGAAAGCCAGGGGAGCGAACGGG